RNAcentral lists this ribosomal RNA (570 nucleotides) under uncultured bacterium. RNAcentral describes it as "bacterial SSU rRNA". It matches the Rfam family "Bacterial small subunit ribosomal RNA", at positions 60 to 611 of the family's 1533-position model. The record is from RNAcentral.
AGUCGAACGGAAGUCGUUACGAAAUGGAAUGAAGAUUUAUCUGAUUGAAGUUUUGUAACAAUGGCUUUAGUGGCGGACUGGUGAGUAACACGUAAGCAAUCUACCUAUUAGAGGGGAAUAACAAUGAGAAAUCAUUGCUAAUACCGCAUAAGCUUGUAGUACCGCAUGGUACAGCAAGAAAAGGAGCAAUCCGCUAAUAGAUGAGCUUGCGGCUGAUUAGCUAGUUGGUGUGGUAACGGCAUACCAAGGCAACGAUCAGUAGCCGGGCUGAGAGGCUCUUCGGCCACAUUGGGACUGAGAUACGGCCCAGACUCCUACGGGAGGCAGCAGUCGGGAAUUUUGCGCAAUGGAGGAAACUCUGACGCAGUGACGCCGCGUAUAGGAAGAAGGUUUUCGGAUUGUAAACUAUUUUAGUCAGGGAAGAAAAAUGACAGUACCUGAAGAAUAAGCUCCGGCUAACUACGUGCCAGCAGCCGCGGUAAUACGUAGGGAGCAAGCGUUAUCCGGAUUUAUUGGGUGUAAAGGGUGCGUAGACGGGAAGACAAGUUGGUUGUGAAAGCCCUCGGCUCA